Molecule: RNA transcript, 2119 nt
Organism: Populus trichocarpa (black cottonwood)
Lineage: Eukaryota; Viridiplantae; Streptophyta; Magnoliopsida; Malpighiales; Salicaceae
Gene name: inositol-tetrakisphosphate 1-kinase 3
Exons: 10
Source: RefSeq, a predicted model, not a curated record
UUGGAGCUCGUUCUGGAGUUUGGUGGAGUAACAGCCAGUAGGGGGUAAAACGAGAAUAUAAGAAAAAGCAACCUUCCAAAUCCAAGUCUUUCUUAUAUAUAUAACAAGAAGCAGCUUCGGGUAAUCCACACUCCAAAUUCCAAAAUAAAGCAAAAUCACCUCUCUCCAACUUCACUCUCUCCCUCUGCAAAUUGAAUUUAAUAUUCCUUACAAAAAUCCAUAAUCUCUGCAACUUUUAAUUCAAAAAGACACACCGAGGCACGCUUACACAUGUUUAUAGCAACAACCAAUCUAUACCCUGCAAGAAAUACUCACUGAACCGACUCCCAGCGCCACCCCUCUCUCUGUAUCCUGACCGUGAUAAACAGAGAGAAACGCAAAACAAACAAACACACGAAGAUACUCGAAAAGAAAUAUUGAAAUCAUUCAGGUUCUUAUCUUUUCUUGUUUUCUAGGGAUUACUAAUCAACUUACACAAUCUUUCUGCAAACAAAAAAGGUUCCAUCUUUUAAGAAAACAAGAGUAAAUAGAGAGAACCCACAAAGCAAAAAUUUGAUCUUGUUGUGAUUAGAGGGUUUUGACUUUUGCGGGCUAUGAGGAUACACGGAGAAAUGCCACCUGAAAAAGAAGAGGAGGAGAAAGUGAAGUCGUUGUCUUUAUCUAUACAACAGCCACAGAAACUGGUGGUGGUUGGGUAUGCUUUAACAUCAAAGAAAAAGAAGAGUUUUUUGCAGCCAAAGCUUGAAGUUUUAGCCAGAAAUAAGGGUAUAUUGUUCGUUGCUAUUGAUCUAAACAGGCCAUUGCUGGAUCAAGGUCCCUUCGAUGUUGUUUUGCACAAGCUGUUGGGAAAGGAUUGGUGCGGAGCUAUUGAGGAUUACAGGAAAAAAAAUCCUGAAGUAGCUGUCCUCGAUCCUCCAGAUGCUAUAGAGCAGCUACUCAAUCGCCAGUCCAUGCUCAAUGAUGUGACUAAUCUCAACUUAUCUGACUGCUACGGCAAGGUCCGUGUUCCAAGGCAGAUGGUAAUUAAUAACGAUCCAUCAUCCAUCCCUCAUGAAGUUACCAGCGCUGGAUUAAAGUUGCCACUAGUCGCAAAACCACUAGUUGUGGAUGGAACUGCCAAGUCACAUCAAAUGUUUCUUGCUUAUGAUCAAUUCUCCCUUUCAGAACUUGAACCUCCCUUAGUGUUGCAAGAGUUUGUUAAUCAUGGUGGUGUUCUCUUCAAGAUUUAUAUUGUUGGUGAAGCCAUAAAGGUUGUACGGCGAUUCUCUCUACCUAACGUUACUAAGCAAGAGCUAUCAAAAGUUGAAGGUGUUUUUCGAUUUCCGAGGGUUUCAUCUGCUGCAGCUUCUGCAGAUGAUGCAGACCUUGACCCUUCUGUUGCUGGCCUUAGCAUCUCCCUUACAAUAACUUUGUGCGGAUCUUGCAGAACUUCCUCCCCUUCCUUUACUGGAGAAGCUUGCAAGGGAGCUUCGUCACCGACUGGGACUCCGAUUGUUUAAUGUAGAUAUGAUCCGAGAGCAUGGAACAAAAGAUGUAUUUUACGUGAUAGACAUCAAUUACUUUCCUGGGUAUGGGAAAAUGCCAGAUUAUGAGCACAUUUUUACAGAUUUCCUACUGAGCCUGAUGCAGAGCAAGUAUAAGAACAGACCUGCACAAUAACCGCUGAGAAACAUGUAUCCAACUGUAAAUGAUGUUUCUUGCAGGUCUAGAUCUCCCUUGGGAAACUGAAGAACAGUCAAUUUAGUUUUUCUGUAAUACUGAAUGGUAUGAAAUGUCCCUUGCUCAAGCCACAUCCCUGUCAACGAGGUUCUUAAUGCAGUUUCAGCUUGUUUAUUAUCUGAUACUUUGUAAUGUUUCUAGGCAAAAUAAGCACAAUACCAGAUGCCCAUUUGUGCGCAAGAACUUCAAUUUGAGACAAAUAAUCACUUCUCAACUUGUAUGAGCCAUUGUCUCUCUAGUCUUGUGAGCACUCAACCUGCUCAUUACCUCUGCUGAAACUCGCAAGGAAGCAAAUUCUAAUAGCCCAUGAACAAGUAGCCCCAAUCUCAUUUCCCUCCCCUUGUAUUCGCAUGAUAUAAUUGGAGAUGAAUGUCUUUGGUUAUAAAAUUUUCUUAUAGAC